CAGAGUUUGAAACCAAAGCACAGGAGAUGUUUACAUAAAGAAUUGUUACUACAGAGAGCUGAAUGGCUCCAAGUGGAUCCGGCUGCAGAUGGAGAAGCAGAACCACCUGCACAAGCCUUCCAGCUAGCAGAACCAAUGGUAGCAGAACCAGUGGCAGCAGCAGCACCUCAGGAUGUCAGCACACAGACUGGAGAGCAUCACUACCAAGACCACACUGUCCUGCUAAUGUGGUCAAUGCAAUGAGGCAGGAGCUACAGGAGAUGAAAGACAUUCUCCAAACUUUGAGGGGCAACCCUCCUCCUGUUUUAUAAAUUUGUGAUCAAUGAUGAUCACUUCAGUAUUAGCAUCGUUGCACUGUUUUUUUUAUUUUUAUAUAAAAACAGUUCUAUCUUC
This is a long non-coding RNA of Xenopus laevis (African clawed frog), 393 nucleotides long. RefSeq lists it as uncharacterized. NCBI's taxonomy places the organism in Eukaryota, Metazoa, Chordata, Amphibia, Anura, Pipidae. The transcript has 2 exons. The record is from RefSeq and is a predicted model, not a curated record.